CAGUAGCCGCGGUAAUACGAAGGGUGCAAGCGUUAAUCAGAAUUACUGGGCGUAAAGCGUGCGUAGGCGGUGAGUUAAGUCUGCUGUGAAAUCCCCGGGCUCAACCUGGGAAUGGCAGUGGAUACUGGCUCGCUAGAGUGUGUCAGAGGAUGGUGGAAUUCCCGGUGUAGCGGUGAAAUGCGUAGAGAUCGGGAGGAACAUCAGUGGCGAAGGCGGCCAUCUGGGACAACACUGACGCUGAGGCACGAAAGCGUGGGGAGCAAACAGGAUUAGAUACCCCCGUAGUCCCUGUCUCUUAUAC
This 301-nucleotide ribosomal RNA is filed under the name uncultured bacterium. Its description in RNAcentral is "partial 16S ribosomal RNA". It matches the Rfam family "Bacterial small subunit ribosomal RNA", at positions 509 to 807 of the family's 1533-position model. The record is from RNAcentral.